This 484-nucleotide ribosomal RNA is filed under the name uncultured bacterium. RNAcentral describes it as "partial 16S ribosomal RNA". It matches the Rfam family "Bacterial small subunit ribosomal RNA", at positions 29 to 507 of the family's 1533-position model. The record is from RNAcentral.
AUUGAACGCUGGCGGCAUGCUUUACACAUGCCAGUCGAACGGCAGCGCGGGCUUCGGCCUGGCGGCGAGUGGCGAACGGGUGAGUAAUACAUCGGAACGUGCCCAGUAGUGGGGGAUAGCUCGGCGAAAGCCGGAUUAAUACCGCAUACGACCUGAGGGUGAAAGCGGGGGAUCUUCGGACCUCGCGCUAUUGGAGCGGCCGAUGGCAGAUUAGCUAGUUGGUGGGGUAAAGGCCUACCAAGGCGACGAUCUGUAGCUGGUCUGAGAGGACGACCAGCCACACUGGGACUGAGACACGGCCCAGACUCCUACGGGAGGCAGCAGUGGGGAAUUUUGGUCAAUGGGCGAAAGCCUGAUCCAGCAAUGCCGCGUGUGUGAUGAAGGCCUUCGGGUUGUAAAGCACUUUUGGCGGGAACGAAAAGGACUGUGCCAAUACCACGGUUCGAUGACGGUACCCGCAGAAUAAGCACCGGCUAACUACGUG